Molecule: non-coding RNA, 85 nt
Organism: Ascosphaera atra
Lineage: Eukaryota; Fungi; Ascomycota; Eurotiomycetes; Onygenales; Ascosphaeraceae
Source: the annotation of a GenBank genome assembly
GCCCUUAUAGCUCAGUGGUAGAGCGCAUCACUUGUAUAUCUCCUUUGAGAUGAUGAGGUCCUCAGUUCGAUCCUGAGUGGGGGCA